GAUGAACGCUGGCGGCGUGCCUAAUACAUGCAAGUCGAGCGAACGGACGAGAAGCUUGCUUCUCUGAUGUUAGCGGCGGACGGGUGAGUAACACGUGGAUAACCUACCUAUAAGACUGGGAUAACUUCGGGAAACCGGAGCUAAUACCGGAUAAUAUUUUGAACCGCAUGGUUCAAAAGUGAAAGACGGUCUUGCUGUCACUUAUAGAUGGAUCCGCGCUGCAUUAGCUAGUUGGUAAGGUAACGGCUUACCAAGGCAACGAUGCAUAGCCGACCUGAGAGGGUGAUCGGCCACACUGGAACUGAGACACGGUCCAGACUCCUACGGGAGGCAGCAGUAGGGAAUCUUCCGCAAUGGGCGAAAGCCUGACGGAGCAACGCCGCGUGAGUGAUGAAGGUCUUCGGAUCGUAAAGCUCUGUUAUUAGGGAAGAACAUAUGUGUAAGUAACUGUGCACAUCUUGACGGUACCUAAUCAGAAAGCCACGGCUAACUACGUGCCAGCAGCCGCGGUAAUACGUAGGUGGCAAGCGUUAUCCGGAAUUAUUGGGCGUAAAGCGCGCGUAGGCGGUUUUUUAAGUCUGAUGUGAAAGCCCACGGCUCAACCGUGGAGGGUCAUUGGAAACUGGAAAACUUGAGUGCAGAAGAGGAAAGUGGAAUUCCAUGUGUAGCGGUGAAAUGCGCAGAGAUAUGGAGGAACACCAGUGGCGAAGGCGACUUUCUGGUCUGUAACUGACGCUGAUGUGCGAAAGCGUGGGGAUCAAACAGGAUUAGAUACCCUGGUAGUCCACGCCGUAAACGAUGAGUGCUAAGUGUUAGGGGGUUUCCGCCCCUUAGUGCUGCAGCUAACGCAUUAAGCACUCCGCCUGGGGAGUACGACCGCAAGGUUGAAACUCAAAGGAAUUGACGGGGACCCGCACAAGCGGUGGAGCAUGUGGUUUAAUUCGAAGCAACGCGAAGAACCUUACCAAAUCUUGACAUCCUUUGACAACUCUAGAGAUAGAGCUUUCCCCUUCGGGGGACAAAGUGACAGGUGGUGCAUGGUUGUCGUCAGCUCGUGUCGUGAGAUGUUGGGUUAAGUCCCGCAACGAGCGCAACCCUUAAGCUUAGUUGCCAUCAUUAAGUUGGGCACUCUAAGUUGACUGCCGGUGACAAACCGGAGGAAGGUGGGGAUGACGUCAAAUCAUCAUGCCCCUUAUGAUUUGGGCUACACACGUGCUACAAUGGACAAUACAAAGGGCAGCGAAACCGCGAGGUCAAGCAAAUCCCAUAAAGUUGUUCUCAGUUCGGAUUGUAGUCUGCAACUCGACUACAUGAAGCUGGAAUCGCUAGUAAUCGUAGAUCAGCAUGCUACGGUGAAUACGUUCCCGGGUCU
This 1372-nucleotide ribosomal RNA is filed under the name uncultured bacterium. Its description in RNAcentral is "bacterial SSU rRNA". It matches the Rfam family "Bacterial small subunit ribosomal RNA", at positions 28 to 1381 of the family's 1533-position model. The record is from RNAcentral.